RNAcentral lists this ribosomal RNA (423 nucleotides) under Bicoxidens friendi. RNAcentral describes it as "partial 16S ribosomal RNA". It matches the Rfam family "Archaeal large subunit ribosomal RNA", at positions 2029 to 2659 of the family's 2987-position model. Lineage: Eukaryota; Metazoa; Arthropoda; Diplopoda; Spirostreptida; Spirostreptidae. The record is from RNAcentral.
AAAGGUAGCCUAUUCAUUAGUCUUUUAAUUGAGGACUGGUAUGAAAGGUUUGACGGAAGUUGGCUGUCUCAGAACCUAAAAUUAUGAACUUUAUUUUUAAGGAAAAGAGCUUAAAUGCUAGCAAAGGGACGAGAAGACCCUAUUAAAUUUUAUUAUUGGUAGAAUAAAAGUUUUAUUUGUAUAAAAUUUUUAUUUAAAAAAUAAUUUUGCUGGGGUGGUAAAUAACUAACAUUAUUGAUUUUUUAAAAAUUUAAUUAACUUUAGUGAGAACCCCCAAGGGGGAAAUUAAAAAUAAAUUACUAUAGGGAAAACCGCCUAAUGGUUUUUGAAAAUUCAUGUUGACAAAAAUGUUUGGGACCCCCAUGUUGGAUUAAGGAAUCUUAUUGGGGCAAUAAUUGAAAAAAAGGGGCUGUUCCACCCUUA